RNAcentral lists this small nucleolar RNA (70 nucleotides) under Dasypus novemcinctus (nine-banded armadillo). The record is from RNAcentral. Lineage: Eukaryota; Metazoa; Chordata; Mammalia; Cingulata; Dasypodidae.
UCUCAGUGAUGAAAACUUUGUCCAGUUCUGCUACUGACUUCAAGUGACGAUUAAGUAUUACCUGAGGAGA